GCCUCCGUGGCAUUACUGCAUCGGUCUCCUAAACUGGGGAUUGUGGGUUCGAGUCCCUACCGGAGGUG
Molecule: transfer RNA, 68 nt
Filed under: Strongylocentrotus purpuratus (purple sea urchin)
Lineage: Eukaryota; Metazoa; Echinodermata; Echinoidea; Camarodonta; Strongylocentrotidae
Rfam family: tRNA
About the family: Transfer RNA (tRNA) molecules are approximately 80 nucleotides in length. Their secondary structure includes four short double-helical elements and three loops (D, anti-codon, and T loops).
Source: Rfam by way of RNAcentral